UACGUAGGGGGCAAGCGUUGUCCGGAUUUAUUGGGCGUAAAGAGCGUGUAGGCGGCCUGAUAGGUCAGCUGUGAAAACUCGAGGCUCAACCUCGAGACGUCGGUUGAAACCAUCUGGCUAGAGUCCGGAAGAGGAGUGUGGAAUUCCCGGUGUAGCGGUGAAAUGCGCAGAUAUCGGGAAGAACACCAGUGGCGAAGGCGGCACUCUGGGACGGUACUGACGCUGAGACGCGAAAGCGUGGGGAGCGAACAGG
Molecule: ribosomal RNA, 253 nt
Filed under: uncultured bacterium
Lineage: Bacteria
Description: partial 16S ribosomal RNA
Rfam family: Bacterial small subunit ribosomal RNA
Source: RNAcentral